Molecule: long non-coding RNA, 336 nt
Filed under: Mustela putorius furo (domestic ferret)
Lineage: Eukaryota; Metazoa; Chordata; Mammalia; Carnivora; Mustelidae
Description: lncRNA (ENSMPUG00000031790.1)
Source: RNAcentral
CUGACCUGGGGAUUUUCUACAGCGACCUUGUUUACUUGACUGACUCCUCUUGUUAUCAGAGGUCUCUGGAUAUUGAAGCAAUUAAGAGCUACAGAAAACAACUGUGGACUUCUCAGUGCCUUUCCAGGCCCGGCUGGUAUGAAGACUGAGCCUAACACCUUUGCAAAGUGGCAUUUGAGUGAUUUAUAAUGAAGACAAACCUAAGGUAGGAGUUUUUUCCUUGUUUUCCUUACUCAGUUCUUCCUGUGUAAAAAAAAUAAAAUAAAAUAAAAUGGCGUGUUUCCUAAUGAUACUAACUUAAGAGGGAGUGAUUUCUAGCAUAUUGCACACAUGGGU